UCUCUUGUUCAUCUAAAUCAAUUUUUUCUUCUGCUAAAAUCGAGAGACAACUGGGGGAUUUUUAUCAAAUCAAACCUAAUUAACGUUAAUCGUGGUUGUUUAUAAGAGAUUGAAUCAUUGGAUUAAAGAUUUAGUGGUAGUGAAGGUGACGAGGCGCAAAAGACAGUUUAAAGAGAGGGAAGGAGAUACAGGGGUUCACGAAUCACCAGCAACUGCAUUUCAUGAAUCACCAGCAAGGUGUUUGAGAAAAUGCGUGAGAGACAAGUUCUUCCUGAGUUGAAAUCUCCGCACAGCAGCUGCAGACAAGUUUACAGGUACCCAAUCUCCGAACUGUAACAUUUGGUAUCAGAGCCAGGUUUGUCUCCGGAUGAUGAAGCAAAGAAAGCAUCAAAGGACCAUGAGAUACCAUUCGAAACUUUUAUGGAGAAAUGGAAAAACUCAAUUGCAAAUAAGUUGAAUGUGUUGAUUGAGCAGUUUCAAAAGUUUAUGGAACUACAAACUAAUCAGAAGGCCGAAUGUUCUACAAAUGUAAAACGAACAUCAGGUGCUCGACCAAUUACUGGAGGUAGAAUUCCUCAAAAUUUUUGUUUCUGAAGCUCUUAGACCUGCAUGAGUAGUAUUAGAUUUUCCUUGUUUUGUGAUAGGAGAAGAUCCAACUAUAUAUAUUUGUAAGGCAGAGCAAUGGUUCAAACUCCAUGAAACUCCACUAGUAGACCAAGUUCCUUUGGUAGGGUUCCACCUCGAAGGAGAUGCACAGUUUUGGUACCAUCUAUUGAAACAAGAGAUUAUCUAUAUUUCUUGGGAUGAGUAUAAGGAGAACUUGUAUGUUAGAUUUGGUCCAAAUCAAUACAUGGAUUUCUUCGGGGAGUUGUCAAAGCUAAGACAGACCACCACCGUUCAGGACUUCCGUAUCAAGUUUGAAAAAUUGUUGGCUAAGGCAAGGCCAAUACCUUAAAUUCAGCAGGUCGGUAUGUUUACUAGUGGUUUGUUUCCUAAUAUUCGUACUGAUGUUCAAGCAAACAAACCCACUACCCUUGCAUAUGCCAUUAGUCUAGCACGUCUCUAUGAGACUAGAGAUGAAUCACAUAUGAAACAGACACCUAGUUAUUCAAAAAUCAAUCAAGUGCCUCGUCAUUCUACUACCCAAAAUACUACAGUUAACAUACAAAAUUCAGUAAGCACCAUUGUGAGGAGAAUGACUACUGAUGAGCUUAAUGAGCGAAGAAGACAAGAAAUUUGUUUUAGGUGUAAUCAGAAAUUUGGGCCUGGUCACUGCUGCAAGAAAUUAUUCAUGAUUCAAGCUUAUAUUGAAGAUAGUGAUGAUGAUAUUGAAAUGGAAAUCGAAGUUGAUAAUGUUGUCGACCAAAAUGAUGAGACACCUGAAAUUUCCUUGCACGCAAUUGUUGGAACUCUAGCACCUCAGACCAUGUGAGUGCAAGGUAGUAUCUGUAAUAAGGCUAUCACAGUACUCAUAGAUUCUGGAAGUACUCACAAUUUUAUAAGUGAAAGGGUAGCGCAGAAGGUGGGAUUGCGGCCUGUUUCAGUGGUCGAUUGGAGGAGAUGGUGGCAUCAGGUGAGAAGCUAAUCAGUUUUGGUAAGUGUUUCCAAACCCUAUUAAGCUUACAAGGAUUUCCUAUGCUAGUUGAUUUUUAUGUUUUACCUCUGGAGGGUUGUGAUGCUGUCUUGGGAACUCAAUGGCUGAGUACACUAGGACUCAAACUGCAUAUGCGAAUCAAUGUGGAUGGAAAUGAGGUAAUUCUGCAAGGGUUAUCGACACCGGAAAAUGUGGUGGUUAAUGAUGUGAAAAUCCAACAUGUUGCAAGUAAGAAGAGGGAAGGCCUUUCUUUGCAAUUAUAUUCGUUAACAGCUGCACCAACUAAUUCUUUGCAUCGUCCUAAUGCACAAGUACAUGGGAUUCUUGUUAAAUAUCAUAGGGUGCUAGAUCAAACUCAAGGACUUCCUCCUAAACGUGAACAAGAUCAUAAGAUUUCGUUCUACCAUGGACAAGGACCUGUCUCUAUCAAGCCGUAUUGUUUCCCUUAUUUCCAAAAAACUGAGAUAGAGAAGUUGGUUGAUGAAAUGUUGUCUACUGGGGUCGUACGUUUGAGUAACAACCCGUACUCAUGACCAGUGAUCUUAGUUAAGAAGCAUGAUGGUUCUUGGCGGAUGUGUGUCGACUAUA
Long non-coding RNA from Papaver somniferum (opium poppy), 2182 nucleotides. RefSeq lists it as uncharacterized. The record is from RefSeq and is a predicted model, not a curated record. The transcript is spliced from 3 exons. NCBI's taxonomy places the organism in Eukaryota, Viridiplantae, Streptophyta, Magnoliopsida, Ranunculales, Papaveraceae.